CCUGGCUCACGAUGAACGCUAGCUACAGCGCUUAACACAUGCAAGUCGAGGGGCAGCAUGGUCUUAGCUUGCUAAGGCCGAUGGCGACCGGCGCACGGGUGAGUAACACGUAUCCAACCUGCCGUCUACUCUUGGACAGCCUUCUGAAAGGAAGAUUAAUACAAGAUGGCAUCAUGAGUCCGCAUGUUCACAUGAUUAAAGGUAUUCCGGUAGACGAUGGGGAUGCGUUCCAUUAGAUAGUAGGCGGGGUAACGGCCCACCUAGUCUUCGAUGGAUAGGGGUUCUGAGAGGAAGGUCCCCCACAUUGGAACUGAGACACGGUCCAAACUCCUACGGGAGGCAGCAGUGAGGAAUAUUGGUCAAUGGGCGAGAGCCUGAACCAGCCAAGUAGCGUGAAGGAUGACUGCCCUAUGGGUUGUAAACUUCUUUUAUAAAGGAAUAAAGUCGGGUAUGGAUACCCGUUUGCAUGUACUUUAUGAAUAAGGAUCGGCUAACUCCGUGCCAGCAGCCGCGGUAAUACGGAGGAUCCGAGCGUUAUCCGGAUUUAUUGGGUUUAAAGGGAGCGUAGAUGGAUGUUUAAGUCAGUUGUGAAAGUUUGCGGCUCAACCGUAAAAUUGCAGUUGAUACUGGAUAUCUUGAGUGCAGUUGAGGCAGGCGGAAUUCGUGGUGUAGCGGUGAAAUGCUUAGAUAUCACGAAGAACUCCGAUUGCGAAGGCAGCCUGCUAAGCUGCAACUGACAUUGAGGCUCGAAAGUGUGGGUAUCAAACAGGAUUAGAUACCCUGGUAGUCCACACGGUAAACGAUGAAUACUCGCUGUUUGCGAUAUACAGCAAGCGGCCAAGCGAAAGCGUUAAGUAUUCCACCUGGGGAGUACGCCGGCAACGGUGAAACUCAAAGGAAUUGACGGGGGCCCGCACAAGCGGAGGAACAUGUGGUUUAAUUCGAUGAUACGCGAGGAACCUUACCCGGGCUUAAAUUGCAGAUGAAUUACGGUGAAAGCCGUAAGCCGCAAGGCAUCUGUGAAGGUGCUGCAUGGUUGUCGUCAGCUCGUGCCGUGAGGUGUCGGCUUAAGUGCCAUAACGAGCGCAACCCUUGUUGUCAGUUACUAACAGGUUCCGCUGAGGACUCUGACAAGACUGCCAUCGUAAGAUGUGAGGAAGGUGGGGAUGACGUCAAAUCAGCACGGCCCUUACGUCCGGGGCUACACACGUGUUACAAUGGGGGGUACAGAGGGCCGCUACCACGCGAGUGGAUGCCAAUCCCAAAAACCUCUCUCAGUUCGGACUGGAGUCUGCAACCCGACUCCACGAAGCUGGAUUCGCUAGUAAUCGCGCAUCAGCCACGGCGCGGUGAAUACGUUCCCGGGCCUUGUACACACCGCCC
RNAcentral lists this ribosomal RNA (1383 nucleotides) under uncultured bacterium. RNAcentral's name for it is "bacterial SSU rRNA". It matches the Rfam family "Bacterial small subunit ribosomal RNA", at positions 18 to 1395 of the family's 1533-position model. The record is from RNAcentral.